ACAGCUCACACUUGGAUCUCCAGAAACCCUACUCCACCCAAAAUUCCAAUCCCAAUUCCUCCAUGUUUAACAACAACAACAACAACAGCAUACCAAUCUCACUCUCCGACGAAGAAUCCGACGAACUCGGCCGGAUGCGAGUCCGUGUUCGCCGGAAGCGCAAGAAACUCGGCUACCGAUUCAAGAACGAGUUCCUCCGCCGAGUGGUGAGGAGUCUGGUCAAGUACUGGGCCAUCCUCAUUCUUGCGCUCGCCAUCGGUUUGCUGCUCUAUGAGGCCUGGAGCAUCGGCUGGAAAUCCACCCCGCCGGUGGUCAAGUCGGAGAAGCCGAGUCCGGUGAACAAUGCCAGCUCGGAGAAGAAUUCCGAGGCCAAUUUGAAUCGGCUUGAUCCCACCACUCGGAUUAUCCACGGCGUUCGGCAGCGUUGUUUGCCGAUUUUACCUCCGGAAGAAAUUGAGCAUUUGGAAGUGCCUUUGCGUGGAGAUUCCAGUAGUCCUGUUAAGAAGUUGUUGUACAGAACAGAGAAUGAUGCCCCGUUGUACAACAGCAUGCCGGAAGAGCAGGAGGACGCGGCGAGAUUUAAUUUGUUUACUGGAAAUCAAACUUUAAAGCAGAGAGGUGAAAUGUUUAAGGUGAACGAAACCGUUACUAUAAACUGUGGUUUCUACAGUGAAAGUGGUGGGUUUAGGAUCACAAAUGAAGACAAGAAAUACAUGCAAAGCUGUGACAUUGUAAUCUCCACUUGUGCAUUUGGUGGUGGAGAUGAUCUUUAUCAACCCAUUGGAAUGUCAGAGGCGUCCAUUCGAAAGGUUUGCUAUGUUGCUUUUUGGGAUGAAGUUACUGUAAGUACUCAGGAAUCAGCUGAACAUAGAAUUGGUGAAGAUGGAUUUAUUGGGAAAUGGCGCAUUGUGGUUGUAAGGGAUCUGCCUUUUGUGGACCAAAGGUUAAAUGGAAAAAUUCCAAAGAUGUUGGCGCAUCGCCUUUUUCCUCAUUCAAAGUAUUCCAUUUGGGUAGAUUCAAAGUCCCAAUUUAGGAGGGACCCUUUAGGUGUUCUAGAAGCGCUUCUUUGGCGUACCAAUUCUGUACUAGCAAUCUCAGAACAUGGAGCUCGCAGUAGCGUUUAUGAUGAGGCAAAGGCCGUUGUCAAGAAAAACAAGGCCAAACCGGAAGAAGUUGAAGUGCAGUUGGCUCAUUACCGUCAUGAUGGAUUGCCAGAAGACAAGAGGUUCAAUGGAAAGAAAGCUCUUGCUGAAGCAUCUGUUAUUGUGAGGGAGCAUACCCCAUUGACUAAUAUGUUCAUGUGCCUCUGGUUUAAUGAGGUGGUUCGUUUCACUUCUCGCGAUCAGCUCAGUUUCCCAUAUAUACUGUGGAGGUUGAAAGUACUCAAGAACAUCAACAUGUUCCCUGUAUGCACCCGCAAAGAUCUUGUUAAUAGUAUGGGCCACAUACGCAAGGCUAAGCCUUUGAUAAUUUGACUCUUGGGUAGUGCUUCCACAUCUCAAUUCCUGAAUAGAAUUGCCUUCGGAACUCGAUCUUGUGUUGCAACAAACCGACAGCCAAUUUUAGUUGUGAGAGCCCACAAUCUAGUAUGCAUUAGAAACUACAGGAGUCGCGUUAGACAGUGCAAGGUAUGCUUAUUGAGAUAUGGAAGACUGGUUCAGGAGAGUGAUCAUGUAGGGUUAUUAUUGUGUGAUCAGA
This is an RNA transcript of Argentina anserina (silverweed cinquefoil), 1698 nucleotides long. It is a transcript of the gene named probable hexosyltransferase MUCI70, with no coding region annotated. NCBI's taxonomy places the organism in Eukaryota, Viridiplantae, Streptophyta, Magnoliopsida, Rosales, Rosaceae. The record is from RefSeq and is a predicted model, not a curated record. The transcript is spliced from 7 exons.